RNAcentral lists this ribosomal RNA (218 nucleotides) under uncultured bacterium. Its description in RNAcentral is "partial 16S ribosomal RNA". It matches the Rfam family "Bacterial small subunit ribosomal RNA", at positions 99 to 334 of the family's 1533-position model. The record is from RNAcentral.
CGGACGGCUGAGUAACACGUUGGUACCUGCCCCAUACACAGGGAUAGUCUCCGGAAACGGAGUUUAAUACCUGAUAUUCUCUUCGGAGGAAAGCUUUCGCGGUAUGGGAGGGGCCUGCGCAUGAUUAGUUUGUUGGUGAGGUAACGGCUCACCAAGACUUCGAUCAUUAGAUGGUCUGAGAGGAUGAUCAUCCAGACUGGGACUGAGACACGGCCCAG